UACGGGGGGAGCAAGCGUUGUUCGGAUUCAUUGGGCGUAAAGGGCGCGUAGGUGGCUUGGUUAGUCCGACGUGAAAUGUACCGGUUCAACCGGGGCACUGUGGCGGAAACUGCCGAGCUUGAGGCCGAGGGAGGAAGGUGGAAUUCCUGGUGUAGCGGUGAAAUGCGUAGAUAUCAGGAGGAACACCCGUGGCGAAGGCGACCUUCUAGCUCGGAUCUGACACUGAGGCGCGAAAGCCAGGGGAGCAAACGGG
This 253-nucleotide ribosomal RNA is filed under the name uncultured bacterium. Its description in RNAcentral is "partial 16S ribosomal RNA". It matches the Rfam family "Bacterial small subunit ribosomal RNA", at positions 524 to 776 of the family's 1533-position model. The record is from RNAcentral.